UUGCUGGGUUUGAUGGCGACCGGCGCACGGGUGAGUAACGCGUAUCCAACCUGCCCUUUACUCCGGGAUAGUCUCCUGAAAGGGAGUUUAAUACCGGAUGUGUUUGUCUUUCCGCAUGGGAGCGACAAAUAAAGAUUAAUUGGUAAAGGAUGGGGAUGCGUCCCAUUAGCUUGUUGGCGGGGUAACGGCCCACCAAGGCGACGAUGGGUAGGGGUUCUGAGAGGAAGGUCCCCCACAUUGGAACUGAGACACGGUCCAAACUCCUACGGGAGGCAGCAGUGAGGAAUAUUGGUCAAUGGGCGGGAGCCUGAACCAGCCAAGUAGCGUGAAGGACGACGGCCCUACGGGUUGUAAACUUCUUUUAUAAGGGAAUAAAGUUCGCCACGUGUGGUGUUUUGUAUGUACCUUAUGAAUAAGCAUCGGCUAAUUCCGUGCCAGCAGCCGCGGUAAUACGGAAGAUGCGAGCGUUAUCCGGAUUUAUUGGGUUUAAAGGGAGCGUAGGCGGGCUUUUAAGUCAGCGGUCAAAUGUCGUGGCUCAACCAUGUCAAGCCGUUGAAACUGUAAGCCUUGAGUCUGCACAGGGCACAUGGAAUUCGUGGUGUAGCGGUGAAAUGCUUAGGUAUCACGAAGAACUCCGAUCGCGAAGGCAUUGUGCCGGGGCAUAACUGACGCUGAGGCUCGAAAGUGCGGGUAUCAAACAGG
This 702-nucleotide ribosomal RNA is filed under the name uncultured Bacteroidales bacterium. Its description in RNAcentral is "bacterial SSU rRNA". It matches the Rfam family "Bacterial small subunit ribosomal RNA", at positions 77 to 776 of the family's 1533-position model. The record is from RNAcentral. Lineage: Bacteria; Pseudomonadati; Bacteroidota; Bacteroidia; Bacteroidales.